This 422-nucleotide ribosomal RNA is filed under the name uncultured bacterium. Its description in RNAcentral is "partial 16S ribosomal RNA". It matches the Rfam family "Bacterial small subunit ribosomal RNA", at positions 360 to 774 of the family's 1533-position model. The record is from RNAcentral.
AACAUUGGACAAUGGGGGGAACCCUGAUCCAGCCAUGCCGCGUGUGUGAAUAAGGACUUCGGUUUGUAAAGCACUUUACGUUGGGAGGAAGAGUAGUAGGCUAAUACCUUGCAAUUUUGACGUUACCAACAGAAUAAGCACCGGCUAACUUCGAGCGAGCAGCCGCGGUAAUACGAAGGGUGCAAGCGUUAAUCGGAAUUACUUGGCGUAAAGCGCGCGUAGAUGGUUCGUUAAGUUGGAAGUGAAAGCCCCGGGCUUAACCUGGGAAUUGCUUUCAAAACUGACGAGCUAGAGUACGGUAGAGGGUAGUGGAAUUUCCUGUGUAGCGGUGAAAUGCGUAAAUAUAGGAAGGAACAGCAGUGGCGAAGGCGACUACCUGGACUGAUACUGACACUGAGGUGCGAAAGCGUGGGGGGCAAACA